GCAUAUAUAGUUUAAUGGCAGAACAUUCGCUUCCCAAGCAAAGGGCACGGGUUCGAUUCCCGUUAUGUGCACCA
This 74-nucleotide transfer RNA is filed under the name Erysipelotrichaceae bacterium. RNAcentral describes it as "tRNA-Gly". It matches the Rfam family "tRNA". From Rfam's summary of the family: Transfer RNA (tRNA) molecules are approximately 80 nucleotides in length. Lineage: Bacteria; Bacillati; Bacillota; Erysipelotrichia; Erysipelotrichales; Erysipelotrichaceae. The record is from RNAcentral.